This 593-nucleotide long non-coding RNA is filed under the name Ananas comosus (pineapple). Its description in RNAcentral is "long non-coding RNA (ACOM_LNC016100)". Lineage: Eukaryota; Viridiplantae; Streptophyta; Magnoliopsida; Poales; Bromeliaceae. The record is from RNAcentral.
UAUAAAGUAUAUAACUCUACUAUUAGUUAUUGAGCAAUACUGGUUAUACACUUUAUUGGGGAUGUAGAAUAUACAACCUAUCCAUUCAAAGAUGGGGUGAUGUGAUUAGUGGAUAACACUCCAUUCUUGGAUCAGUGGGGUGUAUUUUGUACACGUCCAUUGGAGUGUAAAAGAAACAUUUUCUUUAGUUAUGAGUUUGCCAACAAAUUUCUUUACUAAACUCGAUCUCUUUACCCUGUAUUUUGCCCUAGUAGAAUUUUAAGUCGAUGCACUUAGUCCCCCGCCAUCAAGAUUCUGUCAAUAGUUCAUUCAUUUUUUAUAAUUUAUGAUUCGAUACAUUAAAAUAUUUUAACAAUAGAAAAAUAUAUUAAUUAUUUUUUAAGAACAAGUAAGAGCAGUUUGAUCAUUUUGUCCUCGUUGUUAACGCCAUAAUUUUUAAAAAGUAUUUAUAAAAUUUUGGAAGGAUCAAAUAUAAAAAUUUUUAAAAGUCAGUAAAGAAAAGUAAAAUAUUUAUAUAAAAAAAUUAUACUUUAACUAUUUUAAAUUAUUAAAUAUUAUAUUGAAAUAUAAAUGUAGUUCAAAGUAAAAGUAAA